GACGAACGCUGGCGGCGUGCUUAACACAUGCAAGUCGAACGGAAAGGCCUUUUCGGGGGUACUCGAGUGGCGAACGGGUGAGUAACACGUGGGUGAUCUGCCCUGCACUCUGGGAUAAGCCUGGGAAACUGGGUCUAAUACCGGAUAGGACCGCACUUUAGUGUGUGUGGUGGAAAGUUUUUUCGGUGUAGGAUGAGCCCGCGGCCUAUCAGCUUGUUGGUGGGGUAAUGGCCUACCAAGGCGGCGACGGGUAGCCGGACUGAGAGGUUGGUCGGCCACAUUGGGACUGAGAUACGGCCCAGACUCCUACGGGAGGCAGCAGUGGGGAAUAUUGCACAAUGGGCGCAAGCCUGAUGCAGCGACGCCGCGUGGGGGAUGACGGCCUUCGGGUUGUAAACUCCUUUCGCCAGGGACGAAGCGUUUUGUGACGGUACCUGGAGAAGAAGCACCGGCUAACUACGUG
This 463-nucleotide ribosomal RNA is filed under the name uncultured bacterium. Its description in RNAcentral is "partial 16S ribosomal RNA". It matches the Rfam family "Bacterial small subunit ribosomal RNA", at positions 28 to 507 of the family's 1533-position model. The record is from RNAcentral.